CAUCUGCCUGUAGAGAAAGUGAAGAAAAAGGAAUGAAAAAAUUUGUUGAAAUUUAUUCUCUUGAAGUGUUCAAUUUACUAACGAAUGAAAUUUUUGAAAAUAUUAAUUGAGACUUCAAAACCCCGAUUAGUCAAAGAGAAUUCUUGUCUAAACCUAAUUUAUUAUGAAUUCAAUAUAUAAAUAAGUGAGAUUCAUGUAUUUAAUAAUUAGGUCUCACCACACAUCUUAUAUCUUAGAUCUAUGGUGGACUGGAUCUAAAUAAGAAAAAAAAUCCAAUAUGCCUAAAGAGCUUUAAUUUCCAAGAGAUUAA
Molecule: unclassified non-coding RNA, 310 nt
Filed under: Hevea brasiliensis (rubber tree)
Lineage: Eukaryota; Viridiplantae; Streptophyta; Magnoliopsida; Malpighiales; Euphorbiaceae
Source: RNAcentral